UGAGGAACAUGACCUUCGGCGGGGGAUAGCCGGCCCAACGGCCGGGUAAUACCGCGUACGACCACAUGGGGACAUCCCUGAGUGGUGAAGGCAGCAAUGCGCCGAUGGAGUGCCUCGCGGCCUAUCAGCUUGUUGGUGAGGUAAUGGCUCACCAAGGCUUCGACGGGUAGCUGGUCUGAGAGGAUGGCCAGCCACAUUGGGACUGAGACACGGCCCAGAUCCGUACGGG
RNAcentral lists this ribosomal RNA (229 nucleotides) under uncultured bacterium. Its description in RNAcentral is "partial 16S ribosomal RNA". It matches the Rfam family "Bacterial small subunit ribosomal RNA", at positions 118 to 345 of the family's 1533-position model. The record is from RNAcentral.